AUCAAAUGAAAUAUCUAUUUUGGCAAUAACCACACACCCCUUCCAUUCUUAUUAAAGAAGAUAGUAGAUUAGUUUAUCUUUCCAAUGCUAUGAAGAAGCCAUGUUGACCCGGAAGGAAACAAAAAAAAUAAGUAUGUAAAUUAAAUAUAUAGUUAAAUGAAUAACAUUUGAAUAAAGUAAUGUAUAAAUAGAAGAUAAGCAAAAAAUGGAAGGUUGAGUGUGUAAGAAGUUAAAACAUUAUAUAGAAGAAAUAAUUAUGUUAAAGUUUAAGUGUUGUACCUAUAUGCACUCUAGUGUCUAUAAUUAAAGUCACUGUAUGAGUUUUUUUUUUUUGCCAAGGUACAACUAUAGACUUUUCAUAGCUACCAAUGUAAUUGAAGUGAAAAGGCAACCACCCAUGUGAUGAAGUCUACAAAAUGUGUCACAAUCUCUC
This 433-nucleotide long non-coding RNA is filed under the name Lupinus angustifolius (narrow-leaved blue lupine). RNAcentral's name for it is "long non-coding RNA (LANG_LNC001909)". The record is from RNAcentral. Lineage: Eukaryota; Viridiplantae; Streptophyta; Magnoliopsida; Fabales; Fabaceae.